GAGAGUUAAACAGUACGUGAAAUUGUUGAAAGGGAAACGAUUGAAGUCAGUCAUACCAACGGGAAAUCAACCUUUUGAGCUCGGUCUCGUGGGUUUUGAAGAGUUUCAAAGCCUUCGGAUUCGCGGGAUUGGGAUCUCUUGGCGUACUUUUUCGUACGGUUAGUCAACAUCGGUUUUGAAUGUCAUAAAAUGACUGGAGGAAUGUAGCUUCGAUCUCGUAUUGAAGUGUUAUAGCCUUUGGUAGAUGUGAUGUUUGAGACCGAGGAUUGCAACGGAUACCCUUCAGGGCUAUUCGUCUGAUCUCUGAUACGUUGCCUUGAUGUUGAAAGCUUGCUUAUGAUGUUAGGGUAUUACGGUCAAAAGGUUAGAACGAAUUACAUUCGUUAAGGAUGUUGACGUAAUGACUUUAAACGA
RNAcentral lists this ribosomal RNA (414 nucleotides) under uncultured Funneliformis. RNAcentral's name for it is "partial 28S ribosomal RNA". The record is from RNAcentral. Lineage: Eukaryota; Fungi; Glomeromycota; Glomeromycetes; Glomerales; Glomeraceae.